GUUUCCUGUCUGUCUGCUGUUAGUGUUUCUGUUUCAGUUUCCUGUCUGUCUGCUGUUCGUGUUUCUUGUUUUGUAUUAUGUUCUGUUUAUUUGUUAAAUAUUCACUUCCUGUACUUGCUUCCCCGACUCUUGGUGCACAUUCGUUACAUCAGGUGAAUAUCAGGUGAAUAUGUUUAAUUUGACAGUUUUAUCUAAAAGUAAACAGCCAUAAUGAACUAAAUCUAUCUAAAUGACAACGCUUUGAGAUUUCUUUACGUAAUGAACAGAAACGCUGAAAAAAGGUUUUAUUGUUAUUGAGAAAAUACGUUUUUUAAAUUGUUCAUUAUUUUACAUUUUUCUGAAAUUCACUGAGUAGAAUGGUCCUACCCUUCCUCCUCUGAGGACCCUCACACACACACACACACACACACACACACACACACACACACACACACACACACCAUCUAAAUAUCAGAACAUUUGGUUAUAGCCCUGAUGCAGAUGUAAAAAAGUAUGUUGAUAUUUGCAUUGUGAAAGUCCUCUCAUAUACAGCUUGGAUACUCCGUUGCCAGGGAGACAGCGUGUAUAGUAUAGCGACACUGUCAUACCGAAGUUGAGUAGUAGUUGGGGCGUCAGGGAAGGGGGUGGGGAUGAAGUGUGUGUGUGUGUGUGUGUGUGUGGGUGUGUGUGUGUGUGUGUGUGUGGUGUGGAGGGAUCCUGUAUUGAUUGAAAUCUCUCUGUAUACUGUAACCUGACCCCUCUCUGGUCGCCAGGUCUCUGCUGUCACACAGGGGUCGCUGGGCGUAACAGUGUCAGGACACGGAGGUCUCUGCUGUUAUACAGGGGUCGCUGGGUGUAGCAGUGUAGCAGUGUCAGGACACGGAGGUCUCUGCUGUCACACAGGGGUCGCUGGGCGUAACAGUGUCAGGACACGGAGGUCUCUGCUGUCACACAGGGGUCGCUGGGUGUAGCAGUGUCAGGACACGGAGGUCUCUGCUGUUAUACAGGGGUCGCUGGGUGUAGCAGUGUAGCAGUGUCAGGACACGGAGGUCUCUGCUGUCACACAGGGGUCGCUGGGCGUAACAGUGUCAGGACACGGAGGUCUCUGCUGUUAUACAGGGGUCGCUGGGUGUAGCAGUGUAGCAGUGUCAGGACAUGGAGGUCUCUGCUGUCAUACAGGGGUCGCUGGGCGUAACAGUGUCAGGACACGGAGGUCUCUGCUGUUAUACAGGGGUCGCUGGGUGUAGCAGUGUAGCAGUGUCAGGACAUGGAGGUCUGCUGUCACACAGGGGUCGCUGGGCGUAGCAGUGUCAGGACACGGAGGUCUCUGCUGUCAUACAGGGGUCGCUGGGUGUAGCAGUGUAGCAGUGUCAGGACAUGGAGGUCUCUGCUGUCAUACAGGGGUCGCUGGGCGUAACAGUGUCAGGACACGGAGGUCUCUGCUGUCACACAGGGGUCGCUGGGCGUAACAGUGUCAGGACACGGAGGUCUCUGCUGUUAUACAGGGGUCGCUGGGUGUAGCAGUGUAGCAGUGUCAGGACACGGAGGUCUCUGCUGUCACACAGGGGUCGCUGGGCGUAACAGUGUCAGGACACGGAGGUCUCUGCUGUCACACAGGGGUCGCUGGGCGUAACAGUGUCAGGACACGGAGGUCUCUGCUGUUAUACAGGGGUCGCUGGGUGUAGCAGUGUAGCAGUGUCAGGACACGGAGGUCUCUGCUGUCAUACAGGGGUCGCUGGGUGUAGCAGUGUAGCAGUGUCAGGACAUGGAGGUCUCUGCUGUCACACAGGGGUCGCUGGGCGUAGCAGUGUCAGGACACGGAGGUCUCUGCUGUCACACAGGGGUCGCUGGGUGUAGCAGUGUCAGGACACGGAGGUCUCUGCUGUCAUACAGGGGUCGCUGGGUGUAGCAGUGUCAGGACAUGGAGGUCUCUGCUGUCACACAGGGGUCGCUGGGUGUAGCAGUGUCAGGACACGGAGGUCUCUGCUGUCAUACAGGGGUCGCUGGGUGUAGCAGUGUCAGGACACGGAGGUCUCUGCUGUCAUACAGGGGUCGCUGGGUGUAGCAGUGUCAGGACACGGAGGUCUCUGCUGUCACACAGGGGUCGCUGGGCGUACCAGUGUCAGGACACGGAGGUCUCUGCUGUCAUACAGGGGUCGCUGGGUGUAGCAGUGUCAGGACAUGGAGGUCUCUGCUGUCAUACAGGGGUCGCUGGGCGUAGCAGUGUCAGGACACGGAGGUCUCUGCUGUCAUACAGGGGUCGCUGGGUGUAGCAGUGUCAGGACACGGAGGUCUCUGCUGUCAUACAGGGGUCGCUGGGUGUAGCAGUGUCAGGACACGGAGGUCUCUGCUGUCACACAGGGGUCGCUGGGUGUAGCAGUGUCAGGACAUGGAGGUCUCUGCUGUCAUACAGGGGUCGCUGGGUGUAGCAGUGUCAGGACACGGAGGUCUCUGCUGUCAUACAGGGGUCGCUGGGUGUAGCAGUGUCAGGACACGGAGGUCUCUGCUGUCACACAGGGGUCGCUGGGCGUACCAGUGUCAGGACACCGAGGUCUCUGCUGUCAUACAGGGGUCGCUGGGCGUAGCAGUGUAGCAGUGUCAGGACA
Oncorhynchus tshawytscha (Chinook salmon) is the source of this 2585-nucleotide long non-coding RNA. RefSeq lists it as uncharacterized. The transcript has 3 exons. Lineage: Eukaryota; Metazoa; Chordata; Actinopteri; Salmoniformes; Salmonidae. The record is from RefSeq and is a predicted model, not a curated record.